RNAcentral lists this ribosomal RNA (526 nucleotides) under uncultured eukaryote. Its description in RNAcentral is "SSU rRNA". It matches the Rfam family "Eukaryotic small subunit ribosomal RNA", at positions 75 to 604 of the family's 1831-position model. The record is from RNAcentral.
UAUACAGCGAAACUGCGAAUGGCUCAUUAUAUAAGUUAUCGUUUAUUUGAUAGUGCCUUACUACUUGGAUAACCGUGGUAAUUCUAGGGCUAAUACAUGCUAAAAACCCCGACUUCGGAAGGGGUGUAUUUAUUAGAUACAAAACCAAUGCCCUUCGGGGCUCUUUGGUGAUUCAUGAUAACUAUACGAAUCGCACGGCCUUGCGCCGGCGAUGGUUCGUUCAAAUUUCUUCCCUAUCAACUUUCGAUGUUUGGGUAUUGGCCAAACAUGGUUGCAACGGGUAACGGAGGGUUAGGGCUCGACCCCGGAGAAGGAGCCUGAGAAACGGCUACUACAUCCAAGGAAGGCAGCAGGCGCGCAAAUUACCCAAUCCCGACUCGGGGAGGUAGUGACAAUAAAUACUGAUACAGGGCCCUUUCGGGCCUUGUAAUUGGAAUGAGUACAAUUUAAAUCCCUUAACGAGGAACAAUUGGAGGGCAAGUCUGGUGCCAGCAGCCGCGGUAAUUCCAGCUCCAAUAGCGUAUAU